RNAcentral lists this ribosomal RNA (433 nucleotides) under uncultured bacterium. Its description in RNAcentral is "partial 16S ribosomal RNA". It matches the Rfam family "Bacterial small subunit ribosomal RNA", at positions 29 to 507 of the family's 1533-position model. The record is from RNAcentral.
AACGAACGCUGGCGGCAUGCCUAACACAUGCAAGUCGAACGAAACCUUCGGGUCUAGUGGCGCACGGGUGCGUAACGCGUGGGAACCUGCCCUUAGGUUCGGAAUAACUCUCCGACAGGGGUGCUAAUACCGGAUAAUGUCUUCGGACCAAAGAUUUAUCGCCUUAGGAUGGGCCCGCGUUGCAUUAGCUAGUUGGUAGGGUAAAAGCCUACCAAGGCGACGAUUCAUAGCUGGUCUGAGAGGAUGAUCAGCCACACUGGGACUGAGACACGGCCCAGACUCCUACGGGAGGCAGCAGUGGGGAAUAUUGGACAGUGGGCGAAAGCCUGAUCCAGCAAUGCCGCGUGAGUGAUGAAGGCCUUAGGGUUGUAAAGCGCUUUUACCCGGGAUGAUAAUGACAGUACCGGGAGAAUAAGCUCCGGCUAACUCCGUG